AACGCAAAUUGCACUCCCUGGCACCCCGGGGAGUAUGCCUGUUUGAGGGUCAGUUUAAUAAAAAAUCGGGGCAUCGCUCUUGUGAUUCUCCGGAGGUUGUGUCAUCAUAACUUUUUAGGUUAAGAGGCUUAAAAUUGAUCUCUUUUUGCGCGCUUUACGGACGUAUAUAAAUAUUUUUUUAUUCGUCCAUUCAGUGCCAAAUUUUUUUAUUAGGUGCGAUCACGCUUGUGUUGUUUCGUGCCCAUAAUUUCUCAUCUUUUGACCUCAAAUCAGGUAGGGAUACCCGCUGAACUUAA
RNAcentral lists this unclassified non-coding RNA (296 nucleotides) under uncultured fungus. RNAcentral describes it as "sequence contains ITS2". Lineage: Eukaryota; Fungi. The record is from RNAcentral.